This is a non-coding RNA of Aegilops tauschii subsp. strangulata, 1302 nucleotides long. NCBI's taxonomy places the organism in Eukaryota, Viridiplantae, Streptophyta, Magnoliopsida, Poales, Poaceae. The record is from RefSeq and is a predicted model, not a curated record.
CGCUACUUUUCCUUAAAAAAAAAGGCGAGGCGCUACCGAGGGAGGAAACAGGGAAGCGAAGGCGGCGGCGCGGGCGACGAGUGGAGACGACGACUGCCGGCUGCCGCCUUCUCUCCGACUUCCGGUUCUUGAAAAGGCUUAUUCUUGUCCAUGGACGAUACUCGCACAACCGUACUGCCUUCCUUUCGCAGUAUUCAUUCUACAAGUCAUUGUCAAUUUGCUUUAUUCAGAUACUCUUAAGUCACAAACAAAGUCACAAGUCCUUAUUUCACCUUCAGAUCUUAUAUGUAAUAUCUUUCUCAUAUUUCAUUUAAGCAUACUGGAUACUAGUUGCUCUUGUCAGCAUUCUCAUAUUGUAUGCAUGCAGUUUUUCUUUUGUUUCAGUUAUUGCCGAACAAGUUUAUUCAAUUCAGUUAGUUGGAUGGCUUAUAAUGUCUUCUAUGCAAGCAUUCCUGUUCUAACUACUGCUCUGGACAAGGAUUUAUCUGAAAAGACAGUGGCACAGAACCCAGAAAUUUUACUUUACUGCCAGGCUGGAAGGCUUUUAAUCCAAGUACUUUUGCUGGUUGGUUUGGUCGAUCAUUAUAUCAUUCCUUUCACUUUUCUGCAGUUUCUGGCUAUAUGGGGAAACUUUGCUGCUUUCUACUACAUCAUAAAUUUCUGUAUCAGCAGUUCAGCACCAUACCAACUGCUGGGAUGUACACUAUCAUGUACCGCCUUUGUAGACAGCCGCCAUACUGGAUAACAAUGCUGGUAACUGCUAAUCAGUGGAGUUGGCAUGGGUCCUGUAAUAGCUCUGAGAUAUUUCAGAUGUACAUACAGUCCUAGUGCUAUUAACACUCUUCAGAAGGCCGAGCGAUCACGUGGCCAAUGUAAUCUGGAAUCUCAACUGAGAUCAGUGAACGAUAAUUCGACCAGCUAUCGAGCGACGAUGGUCAAGAAUAAUAUCUCAGUUCAUGAGCCCCUAUGGCAUCCAGGAGAUCACUAGCAUCGUCAACAUUUGACAUCUUUCAGCCAGCUCAGUCAAGGGUUCCUGCUGCAGUGCUGCUUAUCCCAGAAAUAUUAAAACCAGUUAACCUUUGGUAGUCAUUGUAGCACAGGUUAUACCCUCAACAAAGGAAAAAAAUGGAAUGACAAAUAAUAGAGGUCUGUUGAAUUAAAUGUGUUGUAUAGCCAGUAGAAAAAAAAGUUGUAUUAUACAGUGCCAUUAUCAGGAUCAUUGUUUUUAAGGCGGCAAGGCGACCUAAGGCGAGCACCACCCGCCUUAGCGCCUAGGCUACGAAAAAGCAAGCCUACUUACUA